RNAcentral lists this microRNA (22 nucleotides) under Glycine max (soybean). RNAcentral describes it as "gma-miR10437". Lineage: Eukaryota; Viridiplantae; Streptophyta; Magnoliopsida; Fabales; Fabaceae. The record is from miRBase by way of RNAcentral.
UAUUGUUCAAACAUAUACUGUU